UACGAAGGGGGCUAGCGUUGUUCGGAAUUACUGGGCGUAAAGCGCACGUAGGCGGAUAUUUAAGUCAGGGGUGAAAUCCCAGAGCUCAACUCUGGAACUGCCUUUGAUACUGGGUAUCUUGAGUAUGGAAGAGGUACGUGGAAUUCCGAGUGUAGAGGUGAAAUUCGUAGAUAUUCGGAGGAACACCAGUGGCGAAGGCGGCUUACUGGUCCAUUACUGACGCUGAGGUGCGAAAGCGUGGGGAGCAAACAGG
This 253-nucleotide ribosomal RNA is filed under the name uncultured bacterium. RNAcentral describes it as "partial 16S ribosomal RNA". It matches the Rfam family "Bacterial small subunit ribosomal RNA", at positions 524 to 776 of the family's 1533-position model. The record is from RNAcentral.